This 1128-nucleotide ribosomal RNA is filed under the name Salmonella enterica subsp. enterica serovar Enteritidis. RNAcentral describes it as "partial 23S ribosomal RNA". It matches the Rfam family "Bacterial large subunit ribosomal RNA", at positions 161 to 1191 of the family's 2925-position model. Lineage: Bacteria; Pseudomonadati; Pseudomonadota; Gammaproteobacteria; Enterobacterales; Enterobacteriaceae. The record is from RNAcentral.
AAUCCAUAGGUUAAUGAGGCGAACCGGGGGAACUGAAACAUCUAAGUACCCCGAGGAAAAGAAAUCAACCGAGAUUCCCCCAGUAGCGGCGAGCGAACGGGGAGGAGCCCAGAGCCUGAAUCAGCAUGUGUGUUAGUGGAAGCGUCUGGAAAGGCGCGCGAUACAGGGUGACAGCCCCGUACACAAAAGCGCAUGUGCUGUGAGCUCGAUGAGUAGGGCGGGACACGUGGUAUCCUGUCUGAAUAUGGGGGGACCAUCCUCCAAGGCUAAAUACUCCUGACUGACCGAUAGUGAACCAGUACCGUGAGGGAAAGGCGAAAAGAACCCCGGCGAGGGGAGUGAAAAAGAACCUGAAACCGUGUACGUACAAGCAGUGGGAGCCCCACCACCAAAGCAUUUGCUGUACCGCGUUGACGGAGCGAAGCGACGUCAAACCGAUAAAACAGCAGUGUAAAGUGAGCCGCAGGGCGCUUUGCGCGACAGCGCAAAGGCAGGCGGUUUCGCGUAGCGAAAGCGAAUGCUUUGGGUGGGGUGACUGCGUACCUUUUGUAUAAUGGGUCAGCGACUUAUAUUCUGUAGCAAGGUUAACCGAAUAGGGGAGCCGGAGGGAAACCGAGUCUUAAUUGGGCGUUAAGUUGCAGGGUAUAGACCCGAAACCCGGUGAUCUAGCCAUGGGCAGGUUGAAGGGUGGGUAACACUAACUGGAGGACCGAACCGACUAAUGUUGAAAAAUUAGCGGAUGACCUGUGGCUGGGGGUGAAAGGCCAAUCAAACCGGGAGAUAGCUGGUUCUCCCCGAAAGCUAUUUAGGUAGCGCCUCGUGAAUUCAUCUCCGGGGGUAGAGCACUGUUUCGGCUAGGGGGCCAUCCCGGCUUACCAACCCGAUGCAAACUGCGAAUACCGGAGAAUGUUAUCACGGGAGACACACGGCGGGUGCUAACGUCCGUCGUGAAGAGGGAAACAACCCAGACCGCCAGCUAAGGUCCCAAAGUCAUGGUUAAGUGGGAAACGAUGUGGGAAGGCCCAGACAGCCAGGAUGUUGGCUUAGAAGCAGCCAUCAUUUAAAGAAAGCGUAAUAGCUCACUGGUCGAGUCGGCCUGCGCGGAAGAUGUAACGGGGCUAAACCAUG